GUCUACGGCCAUGCUACCCUGAUCAAGCCCGAUCCCGUCUGAUCUCAGAAGCUAAGCAGGUUCGGGCCUGGUUAGUACUUGGAUGGGAGACCACCUAGGAAGAGCAGGUGUUGUAAGCA
RNAcentral lists this ribosomal RNA (119 nucleotides) under Pteropus alecto (black flying fox). The record is from RNAcentral. Lineage: Eukaryota; Metazoa; Chordata; Mammalia; Chiroptera; Pteropodidae.